RNAcentral lists this long non-coding RNA (395 nucleotides) under Zea mays. Its description in RNAcentral is "long non-coding RNA (ZMAY_LNC005637)". Lineage: Eukaryota; Viridiplantae; Streptophyta; Magnoliopsida; Poales; Poaceae. The record is from RNAcentral.
GUGCGUCCACCAGUGGCCGGAGUUGAAGGAGAGCACGUCGGCGUCGCGCCACGACUCGGCGUUCUCGGAGAUGUCGUCCAGCAUCAGCACCCGCUUCCCCUGGACCACGUCGAUGUCCACCAGGUACGGCGCGCGGUAGAAGGAUACCGUCACCUGGUACUCCUGCUCGAUCGAGCAACGUGUUUAGAUUAGAUUAGAUUAGGCCCCAUCUCUUCGGCCAAGCAGCCUAGCUGGUACAUGUGUUUACACAUGACAUACCAGGAACUUGUAGGUGUACAAAGGGUCCGCGGAGACGAGCUGCGCCGGCGACUGCGGCGCGGCGGCGUGCAGCAGGCAGACGAGCGACUCCCACUGGUUGCGCCCCAGCGAGUCGCCCACGAACAUCACCGUCUUCC